Molecule: ribosomal RNA, 497 nt
Filed under: uncultured bacterium
Lineage: Bacteria
Description: partial 16S ribosomal RNA
Rfam family: Bacterial small subunit ribosomal RNA
Source: RNAcentral
GAUGAACGAUGGCGGCGUGCCUAAUACAUGCAAGUCGAGCGAACGGACGAGAAGCUUGCUUCUCUGAUGUUAGCGGCGGACGGGUGAGUAACACGUGGAUAACCUACCUAUAAGACUGGGAUAACUUCGGGAAACCGGAGCUAAUCCCGGAUAAUAUUUUGCACCGCAUGGUUCAAAAGUGAAAGACGGUCUUGCUGUCACUUAUAGAUGGAUCCGCGCUGCAUUAGCUAGUUGGUAAGGUAACGGCUUACCAAGGCAACGAUGCAUAGCCGACCUGAGAGGGUGAUCGGCCACACUGGAACUGAGACACGGUCCAGACGCCUACGGGAGGCAGCAGUAGGGAAUCUUCCGCAAUGGGCGAAAGCCUGACGGAGCAACGCCGCGUGAGUGAUGAAGGUCUUCGGAUCGUAAAACUCUGUUAUUAGGGAAGAACAUAUGUGUAAGUAACUGUGCACAUCUUGACGGUACCUAAUCAGAAAGCCACGGCUAACUACGUG